Long non-coding RNA from Sinocyclocheilus rhinocerous, 1212 nucleotides. RefSeq lists it as uncharacterized. Lineage: Eukaryota; Metazoa; Chordata; Actinopteri; Cypriniformes; Cyprinidae. The transcript has 3 exons. The record is from RefSeq and is a predicted model, not a curated record.
CGAUCACAGACGGUUAAGUGUUCCUGCUUCCCAGGACAAGUCGCUGGAACAACAAGGGCUGCACCCUCCUGUGUGGAUGUGUCUAUAGUAGCUCAGAAGUGGUGGUGUCAGAUGCAGCCGUGCUUGGAUGGUGAGGAGUGUAAAGUCCUGCCUGACCUCACAGGCUGGAGCUGCAGCACAGGAAACAAGGUGAAGACCACCAAGGUGACCCGAUAGUUCUACGCUCCAAGGAACCACCAGACCCAACUUACUGGGGACAAAAGUGCUGAAAGUGAAGACUAACUAGAGACAGCAUUGAGCUUCAGCUAACAGGAUCCAUCACUAUUAGUCAUACGAAGAUUACUUGCAAUCAAAACAUCUGAGGAACAGACUGAUCUCCAGAAAUAUAUCCACCAUAAACAUUAGGACCAUCCUGAAGUUAAUGUGUCCUCCUCAAUGGACCCCCUGGCCUUCCGGACGCUCAAUCUUCUGGGUGUGGAUCCACAACCUCUGGAAUGUGUUGGCUGGGGGGUCUCGAUGUACGUAUGCAGUUGUUGUUGUUUUUUUACAGAAGAUGUUUGGAUCAUCUACACCAGUGCAGCCCAAUGGAGUUUAAGCUUAUCAGCAACAUGCUCUCCUUCCUUGUCCUUCAGUUCUUCCGGCAAAUCCAUAACCAUCCCUGCUCUACCCGAUCAGAAGGUCCAAUCAUUUCUUGUGGAAUCCUUUAAACAGCAUUUAAACGUGUAAAAUCGAUCUGGACCUUUAACGGACUCAUCUUCUGUAUAAUGUUUGUUUCUAAAUUAAAGCUUUUCAAACCCACAGUCUGAAAUAACAGAUUAGAUGUACCAGUAUAUUCUAGAAAAUGUAAAAGUGUAAAAGAUCGAAGUGUUAUUCUCAAAACAAGCAGAAUAAAGUUUAAAGGUUAUCACUUUUAUUAUCAAUGUUUUUAUCCAGCCUGGUAACUGCUAUUGAGUACAUGUGUCAGUAUUAUAUACAAUAAUUAAAAAUGUCGAAAAGAAUUUUUCUCCAUACUCUGAUUUCAGAGGCUGCAAGCUAGUGAAACCUAAUGGCUUGUUGUGCCACAAAUAACAUGAUUUAUUCAGGUUUCCUCCACCGAUACUGAUACGCAGAAAAUAACAUAAUCAGCAUUAUAUAUGUAUCGUGUUUUCUGACCUUUACGCCUUAAGACAAAACCGCAGUCACUCCAAAUGCACACCCUCAUGUUUCAAAAGG